This 381-nucleotide unclassified non-coding RNA is filed under the name uncultured fungus. Its description in RNAcentral is "partial contains 5.8S ribosomal RNA and internal transcribed spacer 2". The stretch from base 1 to 133 matches the Rfam family "5.8S ribosomal RNA", at positions 22 to 154 of the family's 154-position model. Lineage: Eukaryota; Fungi. The record is from RNAcentral.
UGGCUCUCGCAUCGAUGAAGAACGCAGCGAAAUGCGAUAAGUAAUGUGAAUUGCAGAAUUCAGUGAAUCAUCGAAUCUUUGAACGCACCUUGCGCCCCUUGGUAUUCCGAGGGGCAUGCCUGUUUGAGUGUCAUUAAAUUAUCAACCCAAAAAGACUUUGCGCUCUUGGUGUUUGGAAUUGGAGUGUGCAGGGCCCUCUAUAGGCUCUGCUCCUCUUGAAAUGGAUUAGUGGAGUUUCCAAUCCGGUGGACCUGCCCUAGCGUGAUAAUUAUCUACGUUGCGGUGGCAAAACUAUAAAGGGAUCCGCUUACAACCGUUGCAUAUAUGCGCAACAAGACUCUAUGACAAUUUGACCUCAAAUCAGGUAGGAUUACCCGCUGA